UACAGAGGUCCCAAGCGUUGUUCGGAUUCACUGGGCGUAAAGGGUGCGUAGGUGGUGGGGUAAGUCUGAUGUGAAAUCUCCGAGCUCAACUCGGAAAUGGCAUUGGAAACUACCUUGCUAGAGGAUUGGAGAGGUGACUGGAAUUCUUGGUGUAGCAGUGAAAUGCGUAGAUAUCAAGAGGAACACCAGUGGCGAAAGCGAGUCUCUGGACAAUUCCUGACACUGAGGCACGAAAGCUAGGGGAGCAAACAGG
Molecule: ribosomal RNA, 253 nt
Filed under: uncultured bacterium
Lineage: Bacteria
Description: partial 16S ribosomal RNA
Rfam family: Bacterial small subunit ribosomal RNA
Source: RNAcentral